Molecule: ribosomal RNA, 254 nt
Filed under: uncultured bacterium
Lineage: Bacteria
Description: partial 16S ribosomal RNA
Rfam family: Bacterial small subunit ribosomal RNA
Source: RNAcentral
UACAGAGGUCUCGAGCGUUAGGCGGAAUCACUGGGCUUAAAGCGUGUGUAGGCGGAUGCCUAAGUACCUUGUGAAAUCCCACGGCUUAACCGUGGAACUGCUUGGUAUACUGGGUGUCUUGAGCCACUCAGGGGCGAGCGGAACAAAUGGUGGAGCGGUGAAAUGCGUAGAUAUCAUUUGGAACGCCAAUGGUGCAAACAGCUCGCUGGGGGUGUGCUGACGCUGGAGACACGAAAGCCAGGGGAGCGAACGGG